GAAAUAAGCUUUAGCAAAAUUAAGCCGCUAACUUAAAUUUAAGCGAUUAAAAUUCGUUUUUAUUUCU
RNAcentral lists this transfer RNA (67 nucleotides) under Prionoglaris stygia. RNAcentral describes it as "tRNA-Ser". Lineage: Eukaryota; Metazoa; Arthropoda; Insecta; Psocodea; Prionoglarididae. The record is from RNAcentral.